CCCAUCCUGAAUGGCCGGUGCGCAGACUCAAUUGCGACUUUUGAGGCUGUCAGCCGCCACCCGGCAACCUUCCAGUGAACAGGAUUCUGGGUUUCUCAAAGCUGUAAUUGGAGGGCCACUCCAGAGGUGUUAAAGCUCCAGCACUUCCAGCCUGCCUUGUGGGAAAGUCUUAGGCUGAGUCUGUAGGUGCCUGCAGUUAAGAAGCCAGCGGUCUGCAUAUGAUUGCUCAGGGGUGGUGGCUGGGUACCAACAGCAUUCACUACAGGCCUGCCUUGAAUACCACCUAACGCAGUGCUCCGCAUAUCACAGGGGCUGGAAACCUAACAAUUUCACGUCCUAGACAACUUGCUAAAAGUCACCUAAAGACAGUCUGGUUACUGCCAAAGAUAUGCUUUCAAAUAAGAUUUGGAUAAAGAAGGGAGGUAGAUGCCUUUUUUCAGCAGUGGAGUGAUGUCUAGACCAGUAGAUGUACGCAUCUAAGUGAAUUCAUCACCAGCAACAAUUUCCAGAAACUUCCUGACCUCCAGAUUGCAGCUUCAUUAGUGUGAGUUUAAAGCCAACUAGAUGCCAUUCUCAGAUUCCACGCAUAUGGCCAAGGGUCCAGGAAAUAAGAAGAAACAGGAUUGAGGGGUUGGUGUUAUGGGGCAUUUACUUGAAUUUUCUAUGCUAUAAUUGUCUCAUCUUUAAAAUGGUGAUAAUAAUAAAAUGGUCAGUUAUUAAAUAAA
Molecule: long non-coding RNA, 725 nt
Organism: Pan troglodytes (chimpanzee)
Lineage: Eukaryota; Metazoa; Chordata; Mammalia; Primates; Hominidae
Exons: 3
Source: RefSeq, a predicted model, not a curated record